UUGCCAAAAGUGUGCUUGCUUGAACAAUCCCAAAGAAUGUUGAUUGCACAGGGUGACUCAAAAUUGGCGAAUUCUGAGUUGAGAGCAUUGUAGAGGAUUGCUUCAGUAGUCCAGACAUAGAAAAAAAAAGAUUCGGAACUUCUCCACAAAGGUACAUUGGUUUGAAGACUGUAACUUUUUAAACUGCGUUUUCUUUAAAUGCAAUCUAAAAGUUUACGAUAAAGAUGAUUGUGAAGAAUAAUAAUGUAAAACAAUUAAGUAGCUUUAUUUUGGAGUAAAAAAAUCUUAAAUUUUUGUAAUUUGCCGUUUCGUUAUUAUUAUAAAUUACAAUCAUUUUAGAUUUUUUAUUCCAAAAUGAUGCAAAUUUUUUGAGAAUUAGUUUUACAUUAUUGUUUUCUACAAUCAUCUCAUCAUAAAUAACAAUAAACACUGAAAUUUUUAGCCUACAUUUGAAGAAAACGCAUUUCAAAAUGCACCUCCACACCAAUGUAUUCUCAAUUCUCUACAACGUUCUGAACUCGGAAUUUGCUUAAUUUUGAGACACCCUGUAGCUUCUCAGGCGAGAUCUAGACUCGGUUAAUUAUUUGGUUUUUUUUUAACUCAAAAUUAGAAAAAUCGCUUGAUAUUUCUGUCUUUCGACGAUCUACUUACGUAUUUUAUACAAAAACAAAAUUAAAAAAAAGAUGAAGGACCUAUCAAAUUUUGAUAGAGGAAAGCAUUUGUUUACGAAGAAGGAACGCGAAAAGUAAUUAAUUUGAUUUGUUGGAAGGCCUCUAAAGAUAGGUGGGCUAAUAACAUUGAGGAAUGUGAUUAGUUUGCCAACAAGUGUGUAUGUUUAUCAAUGUUUCGAAAAUAAAGAUAUCGCGAUAAAUAUUUAUUUUGAUAAAAGUAAUAGUUUAGUCACUCGCAGUGUUGGGACUUAGUACUUAUAUCAGCUUUCGACUAGAAGAGGUAUCAGGCCUUAAAAGGAAGAAAAACCAUAGUUUUGUUCCAACUAGAGGGAACGAUUCCGAACUCAGCAAUCAAAUUCUCAACACCAUCAUUCGAAAAAAUAAACGCAGAGGAGCCAGAACUCCAUACAAAUAUUAAAAAUUAUGUGGCAUAGCUGAUCUUGUGGUCAUUCAGAAGAGGUACUUAUUAGGUACUUGCCAUAUUCUAUACUGCGAUAAAAGCUUAUCAGAACAAUAUAAACACACUAGUUUUAGUUGCCAGUCAUAGCGUUAUCAUUUAUCAAGUUAUCAUAAUACAAUGAUUCGAGUUUUUCUUUGGGAAGCGCGCGAUUAUUACAAUUUUGGCCACAUCUCCAUGUCCCUUUCCGAUGGCACCUACAUCAGUUUUUGGCCAGAAGAGGAAGUCGUAUUGAUUGAGAAAAAGAAGUCGCAAGAAGCAUUGCCGCACAUUUACGCUGAAGAUGUAGAAGUGGAAGGCCGACCAUCUGACCAGGUUUUAACUCUUCCGGAUGAUAUUGUAAACGCGGAAAAGAUUAAAUCUUGGUGGAACUCUUACAAAUAUGCAAAUCAGUGGAAUCUGUUUGGAAACAAUUGUGCCUUUGUGAUCCGAGAAGCUUUUCUGGUUGGUGGUAUUUUUCUAACGGAUGAGGCGCGAGCGAAAAGUAAAAAGGGGUGUAUGUAUACACCCAGGAAAGUUUUUGAUUGGAUAAAGGUUUGUAAGAAGGUGUAUGAGAAGCAUAAAUAAUAAGAGAAGAAUAGAGUUCAAAAGAUUGUUAAAAAAAAUUACGAGUUGUAUUUUUUGGCAUAUUUGCUUAGUUGACCUUAGUUUAUUUAUUUAAAAAUGACAUUUAUGCUUUUGAAAAUUAUGACCAGAACAGAUUAUUGGUUAAUUAAAAUUUAUAUUUUUCGCGACGUUUCGAUUUUUAUUAAAUCUUCAUCACGCUGCAUGUUUUGUUUGUGCCAUGUCAACUUCAAGUAAGACGUAUAAUUAUUGCUGCCUGAUGAAGAUUUAAUUAAAAUCGAAACGUCGUGAAAAAUAAUUAGAUUUAAUUACUCCCUGCCCUAAAUAACCAAUAAUCUUUUCUUGUCAGUUAUUUAUUUAUAUACUUUUUGUUAAUUUUGAUUUUUUCAAAGGUCCAAAGUGCUAUAUUUUGUUGAAUAGGUGAACGAAAUCGCUAUUUUUUUAAUAAAAACCUUUUUGUUCA
This is an RNA transcript of Tribolium castaneum (red flour beetle), 2155 nucleotides long. RefSeq lists it as uncharacterized. NCBI's taxonomy places the organism in Eukaryota, Metazoa, Arthropoda, Insecta, Coleoptera, Tenebrionidae. The record is from RefSeq and is a predicted model, not a curated record. The transcript has 2 exons.